GACGAACGCUGGCGGCGUGCUUAACACAUGCAAGUCGAACGGUGAAGCGCCUUCCUUUUUGGUGGGUGUGGAUGAGUGGCGAACGGGUGAGUAACACGUGAGUAACCUGCCCCCUUCUUCUGGAUAACCGCAUGAAAGUGUGGCUAAUACGGGAUAUUCUGGGUCUGUCGCAUGAUGGGUCUGGGAAAGAUAUUGUUUCGGUGGGGGAUGGGCUCGCGGCCUAUCAGCUUGUUGGUGGGGUGAUGGCCUACCAAGGCGGUGAAGGGUGGCCGGCCUGGGAGGGUGGACGGUCACACUGGGGCUGAGACACGGCCCAGACUCCUACGGGAGGCAGCAGGGGGGAAUAUUGCACAAUGGGCGCAAGGCUGAUGCAGCGACGCCGCGUGAGGGAUGGAGGCCUUCGGGUUGUGAACCUCUUUCGCCAGUGAAGCAGGCCUGCCUCGUUUGUGGGUGGGUUGACGGUAGCUGGAUAAGAAGCGCCGGCUAACUACGUG
This 494-nucleotide ribosomal RNA is filed under the name uncultured bacterium. RNAcentral describes it as "partial 16S ribosomal RNA". It matches the Rfam family "Bacterial small subunit ribosomal RNA", at positions 28 to 507 of the family's 1533-position model. The record is from RNAcentral.